RNAcentral lists this ribosomal RNA (253 nucleotides) under uncultured Eubacteriales bacterium. RNAcentral's name for it is "uncultured Clostridiales bacterium partial 16S ribosomal RNA". It matches the Rfam family "Bacterial small subunit ribosomal RNA", at positions 524 to 776 of the family's 1533-position model. Lineage: Bacteria; Bacillati; Bacillota; Clostridia; Eubacteriales. The record is from RNAcentral.
UACGUAGGGAGCAAGCGUUAUCCGGAUUUAUUGGGUGUAAAGGGUGCGUAGACGGGAAAACAAGUUGGUUGUGAAAUCCCUCGGCUUAACUGAGGAACUGCAACCAAAACUAUUUUUCUUGAGUGCUGGAGAGGAAAGUGGAAUUCCUAGUGUAGCGGUGAAAUGCGUAGAUAUUAGGAGGAACACCAGUGGCGGAGGCGGCUUACUGGACGGUAACUGACGCUGAGGCUCGAAAGCGUGGGGAGCAAAAAGG